RNAcentral lists this unclassified non-coding RNA (348 nucleotides) under soil metagenome. RNAcentral describes it as "partial contains 5.8S ribosomal RNA, internal transcribed spacer 2, and large subunit ribosomal RNA". The stretch from base 1 to 120 matches the Rfam family "5.8S ribosomal RNA", at positions 35 to 154 of the family's 154-position model. The record is from RNAcentral.
GAUGAAGAACGUAGCGAAAUGCGAUAAGUAAUGUGAAUUGCAGAAUUCAGUGAAUCAUCGAGUCUUUGAACGCACAUUGCGCCCCCUGGUAUUCCGGGGGGCAUGCCUGUCCGAGCGUCAUUGCUGCCCUCAAGCACGGCUUGUGUGUUGGGCCCCCGUCCCCGGUUUCCCCCGGGGACGGGCCCGAAAGGCAGCGGCGGCACCGCGUCCGGUCCUCGAGCGUAUGGGGCUUUGUCACCCGCUCUGUAGGCCCGGCCGGCGCCAGCCGACACCCAACUUUAUUUCUAAGGUUGACCUCGGAUCAGGUAGGGAUACCCGCUGAACUUAAGAAUAUCAAUAAGCGGAGGA